Molecule: long non-coding RNA, 401 nt
Filed under: Brachypodium distachyon (stiff brome)
Lineage: Eukaryota; Viridiplantae; Streptophyta; Magnoliopsida; Poales; Poaceae
Description: long non-coding RNA (BDIS_LNC005773)
Source: RNAcentral
CGAGACCCAAACUUGGAAAUCCCGUCUGGCCCGCCUCCGACUCGGCGCCAGCAGCCGAAGCGUCGAAUCCUUGGCGGAAGUGAGGAGGAAGACGGUGGUUCGGCGCGGUGCGGCGGCGCCGCGGCGGGCGCACGCAUGAAGGGUGUAUGCUUCAGGGUAUAAGCCAUGGCGGAGCCAUCACUGUUCGGUGCGGCCAAAGGAGGCGGCGAACCGGCUCUCUGAUGUUAGUGUGCCUUUCUCCAGCUCUUCCUCUUCUCAUCUACUCCGUAUACUAUUAGGAUGUGCUGUACGUCCCUGACAUUUUGCUUAUGGAGUAGGGAGUACAAGAUACGGUUUAUUGUUAAAUUCAGUGGAUAUCCAUUGUUCAGUAUAUAUACGACCUUAGGUUAAAUUCAGUUAAG